GCGGAGGCAUUGAUGUGACGCCUUCAGUUGUGGACGAUGCUUCUCUUAGGAUUUGUUCACGACGAUGCUUUGGCAGCGUAAGGAGGUGUGUCGCGUCGGGUCAGUGGGUGGUGUCGCGAUUUUGAGCAGGGCUUUGAGUUGGCGAGGGAGGCUAAUCCAUGGGCUGUCACUGAAUAGGGCUUCGCGAGCCAAGCUAUCGGAGGUGCUAAUACACCUAGGGUUGUCGCUGCCAUAGAGGUAAGUUAUUACUUCAAAUUAUGUAGGUUUUGGUGGCUGCCCUCUUUGUGAUGCAUGUGUGAGUUAACUUUGUAUGUAUCUACUGGAAUUAUGAUAGCUCUGGUAUAAAUGGGAAAAGAACAUGUUAGCACUUCGGUUCUAUUAUGCUCUGGUUGAACAAGGUAGCUUUAUACCUAGGUAUGUUUGAACUUGAACUUUGAUGAUUGGAUGGGAUUUAUAGUUCAUUAAAUUUGUUUGAUGGUAGGAACACUAUAUCAUAUGUAAUUCAUUAAUAAAACAUUGUGCCUGG
Molecule: long non-coding RNA, 526 nt
Filed under: Vigna radiata
Lineage: Eukaryota; Viridiplantae; Streptophyta; Magnoliopsida; Fabales; Fabaceae
Description: long non-coding RNA (VRAD_LNC007411)
Source: RNAcentral